GCUUCAACAGUGCUUGAACGGAACCCGGU
RNAcentral lists this Piwi-interacting RNA (29 nucleotides) under Mus musculus (house mouse). RNAcentral's name for it is "piRNA piR-mmu-63370". It matches the Rfam family "Iron response element I", at positions 10 to 36 of the family's 36-position model. Lineage: Eukaryota; Metazoa; Chordata; Mammalia; Rodentia; Muridae. The record is from RNAcentral.